UACGUAGGGUGCAAGCGUUGUCCGGAAUUAUUGGGCGUAAAGAGCUCGUAGGCGGUCUGUCGCGUCUGCUGUGAAAACGCGAGGCUCAACCUCGCGCCUGCAGUGGGUACGGGCAGACUAGAGUGCGGUAGGGGAGAUUGGAAUUCCUGGUGUAGCGGUGGAAUGCGCAGAUAUCAGGAGGAACACCGAUGGCGAAGGCAGAUCUCUGGGCCGUAACUGACGCUGAGGAGCGAAAGCGUGGGGAGCGAACAGG
RNAcentral lists this ribosomal RNA (253 nucleotides) under uncultured bacterium. RNAcentral describes it as "partial 16S ribosomal RNA". It matches the Rfam family "Bacterial small subunit ribosomal RNA", at positions 524 to 776 of the family's 1533-position model. The record is from RNAcentral.